Molecule: ribosomal RNA, 501 nt
Filed under: Tardigrada environmental sample
Lineage: Eukaryota; Metazoa; Tardigrada
Description: SSU rRNA
Rfam family: Eukaryotic small subunit ribosomal RNA
Source: RNAcentral
GCUUGUCUCAAAGAUUAAGCCAUGCAUGUCUAAGUAUGAAUGUUAUACAGUGAAACUGCGAAUGGCUCAUUAAAACAGUUAUUGUUUAUUUGAUAAUCAAAUUUACAUGGAUAACCGUGGUAAUUCUAGAGCUAAUACAUGCUGAUAUGCCUGACUCUUAGGAAGGGCUGUAUUUAUUAGAUAACAAACCAAUAUUCCUCGUGUCUAUUGUGAUGACUCAUAAUAACUGAUCGAAUCGCAUGGACUUUGUCCGCGAUACAUCAUUCAAGUUUCUGCCCCAUCAGCUUUCGAUGGUAGUGUAUUGGACUACCAUGGCUGUAACGGGUAACGGAGGAUUAGGGUUCGAUUCCGGAGAGGGAGCCUGAGAAACGGCUACCACAUCUAAGGAAGGCAGCAGGCGCGUAAAUUACCCAAUCCUAAUUCAGGGAGGUAGUGACAAGAAAUAACGGACUGAGGCCUACGCUUCAGGAUUGCAAUGAGUAGAAUUAAACCCCUUGCGAG